This 721-nucleotide ribosomal RNA is filed under the name Candidatus Regiella insecticola. RNAcentral describes it as "bacterial SSU rRNA". It matches the Rfam family "Bacterial small subunit ribosomal RNA", at positions 126 to 842 of the family's 1533-position model. The record is from RNAcentral. Lineage: Bacteria; Pseudomonadati; Pseudomonadota; Gammaproteobacteria; Enterobacterales; Enterobacteriaceae.
CUGGCUUAUGGAGGGGGAUAACCAUUGGAAACGGUGGCUAAUACCGCAUGAUGUCGCAAGACCAAAGUGGGGGACCUUARGGCCUCACGCCAUGAGAUGAACCCAGAUGAGAUUAGCUAGUAGGUGCGGUAAUGGCGUACCUAGGCGACGAUCUCUAGCUGGUCUGAGAGGAUGACCAGCCACACUGGAACUGAGAGACGGUCCAGACUCCUACGGGAGGCAGCAGUGGGGAAUAUUGCACAAUGGGCGGAAGCCUGAUGCAGCCAUGCCGCGUGUGUGAAGAAGGCCUUAGGGUUGUAAAGCACUUUCAGCGGGGAGGAAGGCGGUAAGAGUAAUAUGCUUAUCRAUUGACGUUACCCGCAAAAGAAGCACCGGCUAACUCCGUGCCAGCAGCCGCGGUAAUACGGAGGGUGCGAGCGUUAAUCGGAAUAACUGGGCGUAAAGRGCAUGUAGGCGGUAAGUUAAGUCAGAUGUGAAAUCCCCGAGCUUAACUUGGGAACGGCAUUUGAGACUGGCUGGCUAGAGUUUUGUAGAGGGGGGUAGAAUUCCAGGUGUAGCGGUGAAAUGCGUAGAGAUCUGGAGGAAUACCGGUGGCGAAGGCGGCCCCCUGGACAAGGACUGACGCUGAGGUGCGAAAGCGUGGGUAGCAAACAGGAUUAGAUACCCUGGUAGUCCACGCUGUAAACGAUGUCGAUUUGGAGGUUGUGACCUAGUGUUAUGG